Molecule: non-coding RNA, 102 nt
Organism: Spinacia oleracea (spinach)
Lineage: Eukaryota; Viridiplantae; Streptophyta; Magnoliopsida; Caryophyllales; Amaranthaceae
Source: Rfam
UAUCUUCCUCACAUAAUCUAUAAAAUUGGAACGAUACGAGAAGAUUAGUAUGACUCAUGCGCUAGGAUGACACGUACAAAUUGAGAAUUUUUCUAAAAAAUU